CAGUAGCCGCAGUAAUACGAAGGGGGCUAGCGUUGUUCGGAAUUACUGGGCGUAAAGCGCACGUAGGCGGAUAUUUAAGUCAGGGGUGAAAUCCCGCAGCUCAACUGCGGAACUGCCUUUGAUACUGGGUAUCUUGAGUAUGGAAGAGGUUAGUGGAAUUGCGAGUGUAGAGGUGAAAUUCGUAGAUAUUCGCAGGAACACCAGUGGCGAAGGCGGCUAACUGGUCCAUAAUUGACGCUGAGGUGCGAAAGCGUGGGGAGCAAACAGGAUUAGAUACCCGCGUAGUCCCUGUCUCUUAUAC
RNAcentral lists this ribosomal RNA (301 nucleotides) under uncultured bacterium. Its description in RNAcentral is "partial 16S ribosomal RNA". It matches the Rfam family "Bacterial small subunit ribosomal RNA", at positions 509 to 807 of the family's 1533-position model. The record is from RNAcentral.